CCUACGGGUGGCUGCAGUGGGGAAUAUUGGACAAUGGGGGGAACCCUGAUCCAGCCAUGCCGCGUGUGUGAAGAAGGCCCUCGGGUUGUAAAGCACUUUCAGUGAGGAAGAACGCCUGGUGGUUAAUACCCAUCAGGAAAGACAUCACUCACAGAAGAAGCACCGGCUAACUCCGUGCCAGCAGCCGCGGUAAUACGGAGGGUGCGAGCGUUAAUCGGAAUUACUGGGCGUAAAGCGCGCGUAGGUGGCUUGAUAAGCCGGUUGUGAAAGCCCCGGGCUCAACCUGGGAACGGCAGCCGGAACUGUCAAGCUAGAGUGCAGGAGAGGAAGGUAGAAUUCCCGGUGUAGCGGUGAAAUGCGUAGAGAUCGGGAGGAAUACCAGUGGCGAAGGCGGCCUUCUGGACUGACACUGACACUGAGGUGCGAAAGCGUGGGUAGCAAACAGGAUUAGAUACCCGAGUAGUC
Molecule: ribosomal RNA, 465 nt
Filed under: Vreelandella stevensii
Lineage: Bacteria; Pseudomonadati; Pseudomonadota; Gammaproteobacteria; Oceanospirillales; Halomonadaceae
Description: partial 16S ribosomal RNA
Rfam family: Bacterial small subunit ribosomal RNA
Source: RNAcentral